AACGAACGCUGGCGGCAUGCCUAACACAUGCAAGUUGAGCGAGAAUCAGAGGGCUUGCUCUCUGAGGACAGCAGCGCACGGGUGAGUAACGCGGUGGAUAGCGUACCCUAGGGUUGAGGAUAACCCACCGAAAGGUGGACUAAUACUGAAUGUGUUCCGAGAAGGUCCGCCUUCUUUGAAGAAAGUGGGGCAACCCACGCCCAAGGAUCGGUCCGCGUUCCAUCAGCUAGUUGGUAGGGUAAAGGCCUACCAAGGCUACGACGGAUAGCUGGUCUGAGAGGAUGAUCAGCCACACUGGGACUGAGACACGGCCCAGACUCCUACGGGAGGCAGCAGUGGGGAAUAUUGGUCAAUGGGCGAAAGCCUGAACCAGCAAUGCCGCGUGAGUGAUGAAGGCCU
Molecule: ribosomal RNA, 399 nt
Filed under: uncultured bacterium
Lineage: Bacteria
Description: bacterial SSU rRNA
Rfam family: Bacterial small subunit ribosomal RNA
Source: RNAcentral